Molecule: ribosomal RNA, 232 nt
Filed under: uncultured bacterium
Lineage: Bacteria
Description: partial 16S ribosomal RNA
Rfam family: Bacterial small subunit ribosomal RNA
Source: RNAcentral
UACGAAGGGGGCUAGCGUUGCUCGGAAUUACUGGGCGUAAAGCGCACGUAGGCGGCUUUCUAAGUCGGGGGUGAAAUCCUGGAGCUCAACUCCAGAACUGCCUUCGAUACUGGAGCUUGAGUCCGGGAGAGGUGAGUGGAACUGCGAGUGUAGAGGUGAAAUUCGUAGAUAUUCGCAAGAAUACCAGUGGCGAAGGCGGCUCACUGGCCCGGUACUGACGCUGAGGUGCGAA